RNAcentral lists this ribosomal RNA (509 nucleotides) under uncultured bacterium. RNAcentral describes it as "bacterial SSU rRNA". It matches the Rfam family "Bacterial small subunit ribosomal RNA", at positions 29 to 516 of the family's 1533-position model. The record is from RNAcentral.
AGUGAACACUGGCGGCAGGCCUAAUACAUGCAAGUCGAACGGCAGCACGGCAGAGCUUGCUCUGUGGGUGGCGAGUGGCGGACGGGUGAGGAAUACAUGGGAAUCUGCCCAGUCGUGGGGGAUAACGUAGGGAAACUUACGCUAAUACCGCAUGCGCCCUUCGGGGGAAAGCCGGGGACCUUCGGGCCUGGCGCGAUUGGAUGAGCCCACUGUCGGAUUAGCUAGUUGGCGGGGUAAGUGGCCCACCCAAGGCGACGAUCCGUAGCUGGUCUGAGAGGAUGAUCAGCCACACUGGAACUGAGACACGGUCCAGACUCCUACGGGAGGCAGCAGUAGGGAAUAUUGGACAAUGGCGCAAGCCUGAUCCAGCCAUGCCGCGUGAGUGAAGAAAGGCCCUCGGGUUGUAAAAGCUCUUUUGUCCGGAAAAGAAAAAGCGCCGGGUUAAAUACCCUGGUGUCCCUCGGUAACCGGAAGAAAUAAAGCACCGGCUAAACUUCGUGCCAGCCCCC